This 84-nucleotide transfer RNA is filed under the name Flavobacteriaceae bacterium. RNAcentral describes it as "tRNA-Leu". It matches the Rfam family "tRNA". From Rfam's summary of the family: Transfer RNA (tRNA) molecules are approximately 80 nucleotides in length. Their secondary structure includes four short double-helical elements and three loops (D, anti-codon, and T loops). Lineage: Bacteria; Pseudomonadati; Bacteroidota; Flavobacteriia; Flavobacteriales; Flavobacteriaceae. The record is from RNAcentral.
ACCGAGGUGCUGGAACUGGUAGACAGGCAUGGUUGAGGGCCAUGUGUUCUUAUGAACGUGUGGGUUCGACUCCCAUUCUCGGUA